Molecule: long non-coding RNA, 96 nt
Organism: Notothenia coriiceps (black rockcod)
Lineage: Eukaryota; Metazoa; Chordata; Actinopteri; Perciformes; Nototheniidae
Exons: 3
Source: RefSeq, a predicted model, not a curated record
AGAGAAUCUGUGGCCCCCUGGUGGCCAGUACAUACAUUAUGUGGCCCCCACCACCAUCCAAGUAGCCCAUCCCUGCUGUAAAUGAGAAGUGUUUGC